This 492-nucleotide ribosomal RNA is filed under the name uncultured bacterium. RNAcentral describes it as "partial 16S ribosomal RNA". It matches the Rfam family "Bacterial small subunit ribosomal RNA", at positions 29 to 507 of the family's 1533-position model. The record is from RNAcentral.
AGUGAGCGCUGGCGGUAGGCCUAACACAUGCAAGUCGAACGGCAGCACAGUAAGAGCUUGCUCUUACGGGUGGCGAGUGGCGGACGGGUGAGGAAUACAUCGGAAUCUACUUUUUCGUGGGGGAUAACGUAGGGAAACUUACGCUAAUACCGCAUACGACCUACGGGUGAAAGCAGGGGAUCUUCGGACCUUGCGCGAUUGAAUGAGCCGAUGUCGGAUUAGCUAGUUGGCGGGUUAAAGGCCCACCAAGGCGACGAUCCGUAGCUGGUCUGAGAGGAUGAUCAGCCACACUGGAACUGAGACACGGUCCAGACUCCUACGGGAGGCAGCAGUGUGGAAUAUUGGACAAUGGUCGCAAGCCUGAUCCAGCCAUACCGCGUGGGUGAAGAAGGCCUUCGGGUUGUAAAGCCCUUUUGUUGGGAAAGAAAAGCAGCAGGUUAAUACCCCGCUGUUCUGACGGUACCCAAAGAAUAAGCACCGGCUAACUUCGUG